GCGGUAGUAGUUUAGUUGGUUAGAACGCCUGCCUGUCACGUAGGAGGUCGAGGGUUCGAGUCCCUUCUACCGCGCCA
This 77-nucleotide transfer RNA is filed under the name Poseidonibacter parvus. RNAcentral describes it as "Arcobacter sp. LPB0137 tRNA-Asp". It matches the Rfam family "tRNA". Rfam says of the family: Transfer RNA (tRNA) molecules are approximately 80 nucleotides in length. Their secondary structure includes four short double-helical elements and three loops (D, anti-codon, and T loops). Further hydrogen bonds mediate the characteristic L-shaped molecular structure. tRNAs have two regions of fundamental functional importance: the anti-codon, which is responsible for specific mRNA codon recognition, and the 3' end, to which the tRNAs corresponding amino acid is attached (by aminoacyl-tRNA synthetases). tRNAs cope with the degeneracy of the genetic code in two manners: having more than one tRNA (with a specific anti-codon) for a particular amino acid; and 'wobble' base-pairing, i.e. permitting non-standard base-pairing at the 3rd anti-codon position. RNAcentral also lists the same sequence under 4 other names. The record is from RNAcentral. Lineage: Bacteria; Pseudomonadati; Campylobacterota; Epsilonproteobacteria; Campylobacterales; Arcobacteraceae.